RNAcentral lists this long non-coding RNA (119 nucleotides) under Oryzias javanicus (javanese ricefish). RNAcentral describes it as "lncRNA (ENSOJAG00000018309.1)". Lineage: Eukaryota; Metazoa; Chordata; Actinopteri; Beloniformes; Adrianichthyidae. The record is from RNAcentral.
UUUAAAUGGAUUGUCACGACUUUUACACACAGUCAAGAGGAGAAACGGGAUCAGACGGGGACGUUUGCAUUCUAAUGCUAUUUAGAGGUGACAUCCUCAUCCAGAUCGAUGUGAUCUAG